GUCAGGGUAGUACAAUGGGUAAGGAACUGGUCUGGUAACCUAAAGGUCACAGGUUCGAUUCCCGGGUAUGACA
This 73-nucleotide transfer RNA is filed under the name Anguilla anguilla (European eel). RNAcentral's name for it is "tRNA-OTHER". The record is from RNAcentral. Lineage: Eukaryota; Metazoa; Chordata; Actinopteri; Anguilliformes; Anguillidae.